This 342-nucleotide ribosomal RNA is filed under the name Triticum aestivum (bread wheat). Its description in RNAcentral is "partial small subunit ribosomal RNA". Lineage: Eukaryota; Viridiplantae; Streptophyta; Magnoliopsida; Poales; Poaceae. The record is from RNAcentral.
AUGGGAUCAGUUUGGAGAUGGUUUGCAGAAAAUUUCAACCAAAUUUUGGCGCAAAGAGCGAAUAUAACAAAAUUUGACCAGGAAACAACAGGUAAUGUGCAGGGGAAUGCAACAACCAUGGACACAAAUCUACCCAAUUUUACACAUCCCAGGAAUAACAACAGCUCAUAUAUAAUAUCUCAAAUUAGAUCAUCAAAAUUUAGUAUGAAUAAGAGAUGCAAUGGAAUUAUCUCCUGGCCUGGUAUACACAGAUUGCAGGAUUGGAAGAGGAACUUCAGUACAUGCCAAACUGGCCAGGAAAUCCCAGCUCACCGGAAAAUAGAGCGAUUUAGCCUAAUCUAA